This 88-nucleotide non-coding RNA is filed under the name Bacillus sp. (in: firmicutes). RNAcentral describes it as "Bacillus sp. c-di-GMP sequence". It matches the Rfam family "c-di-GMP-I riboswitch aptamer". Rfam says of the family: GEMM was predicted in a large-scale screen for bacterial structured RNA regulatory elements. Genes associated with GEMM are involved in a diverse array of functions, including chemotaxis regulation, signal transduction, secretion and chitin. Lineage: Bacteria; Bacillati; Bacillota; Bacilli; Caryophanales; Bacillaceae. The record is from RNAcentral. RNAcentral also lists the same sequence under 1 other name.
UUCAUUGAAGGGCAAAACCCGUGAAAGCGGGCGACGCAAAGCCACGGGCCUACAGCAGUGCUCCUGCCAAGGCAGCCGGGUUGCCAAA